CCUAUGAGAGUCUUGUCUGGGGAGAAUCUAAGGCAUUAAACUACUUCUAAUGCUUUUCUCCUUAGGUCUCCAAACAAAACCAACAAAAAACAGAGAUUUGAAUGAAUACUGAAGGCAUUUCACAACCCAAAAACAGUAAUGCCUUUUGAAGAAAUACAACUCCCAGUAACAGCACAGAGUCUGCUAGACUGUACCCACCACCAUCAGUGGGGUUGCCUAGAUUGAUGAUGGCCUGUUCUUUGACAAGCAUCCAAGGUCCCUGGAUUUCUCCAGGCACUCAUUAGUGUGAUUGCUAAUCCCUCUCAAGGCCCUGAGGAUAGUUCUUUAGAGAUCCAAAGUGAUUAUCUGGUAUUCUAUCUAAUCUACAUUCU
Molecule: non-coding RNA, 371 nt
Organism: Macaca mulatta (Rhesus monkey)
Lineage: Eukaryota; Metazoa; Chordata; Mammalia; Primates; Cercopithecidae
Source: RefSeq, a predicted model, not a curated record